This 684-nucleotide ribosomal RNA is filed under the name uncultured Nitrososphaerota archaeon. Its description in RNAcentral is "bacterial SSU rRNA". It matches the Rfam family "Archaeal small subunit ribosomal RNA", at positions 75 to 762 of the family's 1478-position model. The record is from RNAcentral. Lineage: Archaea; Thermoproteati; Nitrososphaerota.
UAUGUGGCAUACGGCUCAGUAACACGUAGUCAACAUGCCCAGGGGACGUGGAUAACCUCGGGAAACUGAGGAUAAACCGCGAUAGGUCAUCACUUCUGGAAUGGGUAAUGACUUAAACCUAUAUGGCCCCUGGAUUGGACUGCGGCCGAUCAGGCUGUUGGUGAGGUAAUGGCCCACCAAACCUGUAACCGGUACGGGCUCUGAGAGGAGGAGCCCGGAGAUGGGCACUGAGACAAGGGCCCAGGCCCUAUGGGGCGCAGCAGGCGCGAAACCUCUGCAAUAGGCGAAAGCUUGACAGGGUUACUCUGAGUGAUUUCCGUUAAGGAGAUCUUUUGGCACCUCUAAAAAUGGUGCAGAAUAAGGGGUGGGCAAGUCUGGUGUCAGCCGCCGCGGUAAUACCAGCACCCCGAGUGGUCGGGACGUUUAUUGGGCCUAAAGCAUCCGUAGCCGGUUCUACAAGUCUUCCGUUAAAUCCACCUGCUUAACAGAUGGGCUGCGGAAGAUACUAUAGAGCUAGGAGGCGGGAGAGGCAAGCGGUACUCGAUGGGUAGGGGUAAAAUCCGUUGAUCCAUUGAAGACCACCAGUGGCGAAGGCGGCUUGCCAGAACGCGCUCGACGGUGAGGGAUGAAAGCUGGGGGAGCAAACCGGAUUAGAUACCCGGGUAGUCCCAGCUGUAAACGAUG